Molecule: long non-coding RNA, 1666 nt
Organism: Lagenorhynchus albirostris (white-beaked dolphin)
Lineage: Eukaryota; Metazoa; Chordata; Mammalia; Artiodactyla; Delphinidae
Exons: 3
Source: RefSeq, a predicted model, not a curated record
GGCACAUAGUAGGUACGGUAGAACAAUGGUGCCCCGUAGAUGCCCACCUCCUAUUCCCAAACCUGUGAAUAUGAUGCUUUACAUGGCAAAAGGGACUUUGUGAUUAAGGAUCUUCAGAUGGGAAAAUCAACCUAGGUUAUCCCAGAAGCAGCAAGAGGUUGGAGUAAGGGGCCGUGAGCCAAGAGUUGAAGGCACAUCUGGAAGCUGACAAAAGGAAGAAAGGGGAUUCUCCCCUUGAAGCCUCCAGAAGAAAUGCAGCCCAGCCCAUACCUUGAUUUUAGAUUUUGACCUCCAGAAAGGUAGGUGGACGCAGAUUAUGAACAAGAACAGGAACAAGAAAUGUGAACUUUAACAUGUUUGAGGGAUAAGUCCUUAGAUGCUACUGAUUUUAGUGACCAGCUGGAUGAUCCAACAAAAACUGAUGAGUAUAUUCUGUCAAAGUAAAUUGUGGUGGGUUGUUAAAGUAAUGGAACCAAUGAAUUACACCUCCCAAUGUUUAACUCCACACAUAGGCCCCCUCUCCUAUUUAACUCCUGGUUGGGCCAUAUGAUUUGCUUUGGCCAAUGGGAUGUGUAAGCAAACAUAACACAAGUGAAAGCUUAAAAAGAACUUGUAGUAUAUAUCACAUCUCUUGAGAUUGUCAUGUGAAGAAGCCCAAGCUACCUCUUGGAGGAUAAGAACACAGGGAGCAGAGACAAGCCAUCUCAAUGGAGGCUCCAUAGCCCAAGCAGCCCCAGCUUAUGCACCAGGAGAUCACAGCGUUGUUAGUGACCCAGGCAAGAAGAACAGAACUAACUGCCCAAUGACCCCAGCCCAAUUGCUGACCUACAAAAUCAUAAGCAAAUAAAAUGGUUUUUAUUUGGUGGUAGUUCGUUAUACAACAGCAGAUAAUUGACAUACUCUAUUUCCUUAAAUUUCAGGUCAAAACUUAAGUAAAUUGAAAUUAUCCUUUUUUGUGUGUGAUCUACCCUCGUCAAUUCUUUAUCUUGAUACCAGCUAAUUUAGUUUACAAUACUUUCCUUUGUAAUUCUCUUUCUCUUUGAAGAUUAAUACAAAGACACUUCUGCCUGAAAGUUUCCCAAUAUGAAUAAUUUUACUUACUAAAAAGGAGCCUCACUCAGCAUAAUUUAUAUAUCUGUGUUCUAAAAUUUUGUUCAGAUUCACCUUCCUCUUCGAAAUGCUGUAUAUGUUUCCUUUAAGCUUUAACAAUCCACUAUUUUUUUAAUAAAUUUAUUUUAGUUAUUUUAUUUAUUUUUUUGGCUGCAUUGCAUCUUGGUUGCUGCUCGCGGGCUUUCUCUAGUUGCUGUGAGCGGGGGCCACUCCUUGUUGCGGUGCGUGGGCUUCUCAUUGCGGUGGCGUCUCUUGUUGCAGAGCACGGGCUCCAGGCGCGCAGGCUCAGUGGUUGUGGCUCGCGGGCCCUAGAGCGCAGGCUCGGUAGUUGUGGUGCACGGGCUUAGUUGCUCUGUGGCAUGUGGGAUCUUCCUGGACCAGGGCUCGAACCCGUGUCCCCUGCAUUGGCAGGCAGAUUCUUAACCACUGCCCCACCAGGGAAGCCCUACUAUUUGUUUUUAAAGUAUUUUAUAAUUUUUUCACUUUUAUUUUUUGAAGUUUGACCAUACUUAUAUCUGUAUUUUCUGUAAAUCACACUCUGCUUGAAAGUUACAGA